UUUAUCCACGCUGUUUAACAUUUUCUCUUGACUUCUUUAUUUAAGUUUAUCCACGCUGAUUAACAGCUUCUCUUGCCUUCUAUGUUUAAGUUUAUCCACGCUGUUUAACAGCUUCUCUUGACUUCUAUAUUUAAGUUCAUCUACGCUGUUUAACAGCUUCUCUUGACUUCUAUCUUUAAGUUUAUCCACGCUGUUUAGCAGCUUCUCUGGACUUCUAUAUUUAAGCUUAUUCACGCUGUUUAACAGCUUGAUUUAAAUCAAAAUUGAAAUCGGAAGUCGUCUUCCUUGUAUUGAUAUUAUCGCCUACCACUGAAAAUGAAUAUUUCCACAACUAUGAACUCCGUUAUAAAUUAAGACAACGUCUCUAUAGUAUCCUCCGGAAAAUUGAAUUUUUCUCAAUUUUGAACUUAUGUGUUACUUAUACUCAACCAAGGGACUUCCCUACCGAAUACUUUUUCCAUUAAAAAACGACAAUAACAUGUGUUUUAAAGUUUAAGCGCUGUAAUAAAUUAGAAUAUUUUAAAUUAUCUUUAUAUUGAAGAGAGGGGUGGAUGCACAUUAAAUCACGAAUCGACUGUUGUAAAAUUUAAAUUUAAAUUAUCAUGUCCUAAUUAAUAUCUAAUUUUACAAGAUAUUUAUAUAAAUGUUGGGGACUGUCGUAAAAAAAAUUAUCAUAUAUUUUCUGAUUAUAUUUCGUAUAUUCACAAUAUGCUUUGUAUGUAAGUAUCCUUUUAUAAGAUCUAGGGUCUCCCAUUCUAAAGAUUGAACUUAAAUUAACAACCUUGAAUUUGCUGGAGAACUAUUAGUGGAUUUCUGCUGUAAAGAUGAAAAUGAAAAUAAAAGCGAGAAUGUUUUUAUUUCUAUAAUUUAUCAUGAGAAGUUGGUUGGAUGAGACUUCAACGACGUCUCUGUACGGAUACUUUAGUCUUCGCUCUUGGAUUUGUUGCCUGCAGGCAGCAGCAUUAGAUUUAUUUAUUUGAUAAAUCAUUUAAUAUAAAAUGAACUAUGUUUUAAAUAAAAAAGUUGUACGUCA
This is a long non-coding RNA of Eurytemora carolleeae, 1033 nucleotides long. RefSeq lists it as uncharacterized. The record is from RefSeq and is a predicted model, not a curated record. The transcript has 2 exons. Lineage: Eukaryota; Metazoa; Arthropoda; Copepoda; Calanoida; Temoridae.